This 230-nucleotide long non-coding RNA is filed under the name Astyanax mexicanus (Mexican tetra). RNAcentral describes it as "lncRNA (ENSAMXG00005008161.1)". The record is from RNAcentral. Lineage: Eukaryota; Metazoa; Chordata; Actinopteri; Characiformes; Acestrorhamphidae.
CCAAAGCGCUAUGUUUAAGGCAGUGUUAGCGUACAGAGCAGUACAGUGAAAAUAGUAGAGACAAGCUUGCUUUUAUAGUGUUUGAGAAAUUUAAAUGGAGAAAAAACAAAUGAAGAAACUGAUACAAAAUGAAGGACCAAAACAACACAGUCUGACGGUCCUACCAGUAAAGAGCUGGAUUGCUGCUAACUAGUGCAUUAGUGAAAUGAAAGGAGCUGAAGCCGAGAGGG